CAUCAGCUUUCUACAAUGUUGAAUUUAAGUGUAGUGUGAGUGGAAUUGCCUCUAGUAUUAGUAUUCCUAAACUUGAGAAACUGGCUUUCGGAUGUUGUCAAGGGAUCCAUAAGUUUGAGAUCAGUCCUCCUAAGCUUGAAAUGUUGUCUGUUAUUGAUUCUUUGUAUGAUGUAGUUGAUUCGAGAUGGUUAGCACCGCAUUUGAAAGCCAUUAAGACUCUUUGGUUGUGUGGCUCUUCGUUGUGGCGUAUGGAUGUAUAUGUGUUUCCAAUUGCAAUAAAUCUGAAAGUAAUAAAGUUGUAUGAAUUCAAAAAUUUCCCAACCUAUGUGAACUGCGGAUUAUUGCAGAUAAGUUCCGUGGGAAGGAUGACCAAGAAGCUACUUCAAGGCUUUUGGAGGAUCCAGACGGUGGCUUUGUUAUUCAGGAGCUGAAGAUGCUUAACACAAUCAAGAUUGAAUCAUUCAGUGAAUUCCCACUCGCAAUGCUUUUUAUAAAAAUGUUGCUCUCAAAAUCCCCUGUGCUAAAGAGAGUUGUUAUUGUGCAGUCUUGGCAUAAUAUGAAUGACUCCGAGGUGAGAAAAAUCCAAAGGAAGUUGGAAUGCUUCCCUCGUGCAUCUCCAAACGCACAAAUUGUCUACGCGGGCAAUUACUAUGCGUCUAUGUGUGAUGAUUGGUUCGAUACCCAUGGUUUUACGCUUUUAGAAAUGUAAGCAAAGAUUGUGUUGGAAGUUGACAUGUUUUCUAAGUUGAGCAUGAGGUAUUUGUAAUCAGCAAGCAUUGUGGGCAAUUAAGAAUGUUUCUAUAUUUGCUUUUGUUAAUAAAUUACUUCAAUUAUGCUGCU
Molecule: long non-coding RNA, 840 nt
Organism: Ipomoea nil (Japanese morning glory)
Lineage: Eukaryota; Viridiplantae; Streptophyta; Magnoliopsida; Solanales; Convolvulaceae
Exons: 3
Source: RefSeq, a predicted model, not a curated record